Molecule: long non-coding RNA, 1428 nt
Organism: Astyanax mexicanus (Mexican tetra)
Lineage: Eukaryota; Metazoa; Chordata; Actinopteri; Characiformes; Acestrorhamphidae
Exons: 5
Source: RefSeq, a predicted model, not a curated record
UCUGUAAACACCAAGCUAGGGGUGUCUUCUUUUAGAUUCAGCCACUGUCAUUGGCUAAAAACACCUGUAUUUGUUUAAAUCACCGCCUUUCCCCCCAAUGCCGUGCGCGAUGGAACGCGUCGUAUUCGUAGGCAGCCUAAACGUGCUUCGACAUUGAUAUUCGGACAGAGCCCAAAAAUCAUACUCAGCCAAUCCUAGCCAAUCUUACUCAAUUACAGGAACAUGUAGCUAGGUCACUUGCCCCGAUUGGUCACCUACAACACGGGGGCGGGGACUGUUUCCCAUUCAGCUCUCCAUACUAGCUAUGUUUAAGGUGUAUAUAUUUAUUUUUCUGGAGUGGUUUUAGAAAUUAAACAGUUCUGAACAUCAUAGCCAUGAGGAUAAUUACUCUAAAAUAAAAAAAAAACUUUAUAAAAACAUGCCGGAAAAGUAUUUAUUUUGAACAGUUCUUUUAAUUGCGCAUAGCAUGGUCUCUGGAGACGCCUGGUGGACAGGUGUUGUAAAUGCUGUUUAAAAAAACAACAUCAUGGAAUAACCACCACUGGAACGAAAUCCCGGAAUACUUGCUUGCGGGUCUGUUUACUUCUCAGCUCGUUUAGAUCGCACGUAUUUAAGCAUAAUGAAGAAAAGAAGAAGAAAACCAGUUGACGAUGCAGUGCAGCAAGUCAUCAGUGGAACAGACAAGACUCAUUUACUCCAGAGCAGGAAAUUCAACCCUUACAAAGGUCGUGGAGUAUUUGCCCUGGAGUCUAUCAAUAAAGGAGAGUUUGUGGCUGAAUACAGGGGGGGAACUAAUAGAUUUUCUGGAAUCUGAGAGGAGGAGGAAGGUCUCCCAAAAUACGGUCUAUUUUUUUUUUCAGAAUAAACAGUGGUGCCUGCUAACGGGAUCCUCUCUCACACAAUGGAUGCGUUUAAAACAUCCCACUUGACUUCAGGAGCUGAGAAGACUGCCAAAGCUGCUUCUACUUUUAAGGUCCCUGUACGAAAACACCUUGGAGCACUGAUGAAAUCCAAGCUGGGGAGAAGCACAUGAUGAGGUUCCUUAACAAAUGGAAAGUGCCUGGAAAAGUGGAGUGUGUUUGGUGUUUACAAGCUGAACCACAGGCUCUUAAAAACAGACUAGUUAACCAUUAAGUUUUAUGUCAAAAAUUGCAUCACGGCACUACAGAGACAGGCACAUUGAGUGAACAGUUAAAAAAAAAUUGACCAGCAUGUUUUAACAUUUUGCAUUUGUAAAUUUAAUUCUCGCGGUGCUGCGACCAAAAAAAGGGAAUCUAGUUUGCGCUGAAGAGAAUAUCGCUCUCGAGCUUCAUUUAUCUCCUCUCUGGUGUUUUUUUUUCUCUACAUUUCACAGUUCUCCUUGCACGCUAUGCGAAUUACCUGCGGCUGUUGUUUUUGCUCAAGUGAGUUUUUUGUGCUGGAGUUUUA